GUGAUUUUUACAUUAUUGAGUGACAGAUUUUGUUUUAUUCCUUUAAAGAGUUUUGGACACAAUUCUCUAAGAAUGGCAGGGUUUCUGUUGAUUCCCACUUUUUAUGCAGGUGCCUGGAAAUCACCAGGUAGACAACUGGGGUGAUUUUAGGGCUUGGUUUGCUUGUUUCCCUUCGUCACUGAUCACAAUCCUGUACUACCUAUUGUCCAUUAUCUGAAAAUAGCUGUUUCAGACAUUUUUUUCAGUUCACUCACUUAGGAUAGGAGAACUUUUUGUGAGGCUGUUACCUUUUCAUGGAUGGAAGUAAAAGUACAUUAGAUGACCUUCCUUUUCAAAUGUGUGUAAUUUUGGAUCCCUGCUUUGUUAUGCUUAUUGAUAGGAAACUGAUUUUCUCCAUUUUCAGAAAGCAUCAUCCUUCAGAGAACAGGAAACACUUUGAAACUCUGGUAUCUACAAUGAGUGAAGAGAGGUUUUCUGGUGGAUUAGGAAGUUCCCCACACUUUCUCAUCAAGAACAGUGAUGCCAGAGUAGUGCAUCUGGUGUGUCCAGCUGCAGGCUGGUACCUAGAACCUGAGGCAAGCUGGGGAGAUACCUGA
RNAcentral lists this long non-coding RNA (596 nucleotides) under Bos indicus x Bos taurus (hybrid cattle). Its description in RNAcentral is "lncRNA (ENSBIXG00005021097.1)". Lineage: Eukaryota; Metazoa; Chordata; Mammalia; Artiodactyla; Bovidae. The record is from RNAcentral.